CAGUCGCCGCGGGAAUACGAGGGGGGCAAGCGUUGUUCGGAAUUAUUGGGCGUAAAGGGCGCGUAGGCGGUUUGGCAAGUUUGGUGUGAAAUCUUCGGGCUCAACUCGAAGUCUGCACCGAAAACUGCCGGGCUUGAGUAUGGGAGAGGUGAGUGGAAUUUCCGGUGUAGCGGUGAAAUGCGUAGAUAUCGGAAGGAACACCUGUGGCGAAAGCGGCUCACUGGACCAUUACUGACGCUGAGGCGCGAAAGCUAGGGGAGCAAACAGGAUUAGAUACCCCCGUAGUCCCUGUCUCUUAUAC
This 301-nucleotide ribosomal RNA is filed under the name uncultured bacterium. RNAcentral's name for it is "partial 16S ribosomal RNA". It matches the Rfam family "Bacterial small subunit ribosomal RNA", at positions 509 to 807 of the family's 1533-position model. The record is from RNAcentral.